UGUGGGAUGAGCCCGCGGCCUAUCAGCUUGUUGGUGGGGUGACGGCCUACCAAGGCGACGACGGGUAGCCGGCCUGAGAGGGUGUCCGGCCACACUGGGACUGAGAUACGGCCCAGACUCCUACGGGAGGCAGCAGUGGGGAAUAUUGCACAAUGGGCGCAAGCCUGAUGCAGCGACGCCGCGUGGGGGAUGACGGCCUUCGGGUUGUAAACCUCUUUCACCAUCGACGAAGGUCCGGGUUCUCUCGGAUUGACGGUAGGUGGAGAAAAAGCACCGGCCAACUACGUGCCAGCAGCCGCGGUAAUACGUAGGGUGCGAGCGUUGUCCGGAAUUACUGGGCGUAAAGAGCUCGUAGGUGGUUUGUCGCGUUGUUCGUGAAAUCUCACGGCUUAACUGUGAGCGUGCGGGCGAUACGGGCAGACUAGAGUACUGCAGGGAGACUGGAAUUCCUGGUGUAGCGGUGGAAUGCGCAGAUAUCAGGAGGAACACCGGUGGCGAAGGCGGGUCUCUGGGCAGUAACUGACGCUGAGGAGCGAAAGCGUGGGGAGCGAACAGGAUUAGAUACCCUGGUAGUCCACGCCGUAAACGGUGGGUACUAGGUGUGGGUUUCCUUCCUUGGGAUCCGUGCCGUAGCUAACGCAUUAAGUACCCCGCCUGGGGAGUACGGCCGCAAGGCUAAAACUCAAAGGAAUUGACGGGGGCCCGCACAAGCGGCGGAGCAUGUGGAUUAAUUCGAUGCAACGCGAAGAACCUUACCUGGGUUUGACAUGCACAGGACGCGUCUAGAGAUAGGCGUUCCCUUGUGGCCUGUGUGCAGGUGGUGCAUGGCUGUCGUCAGCUCGUGUCGUGAGAUGUUGGGUUAAGUCCCGCAACGAGCGCAACCCUUGUCUCAUGUUGCCAGCACGUAAUGGUGGGGACUCGUGAGAGACUGCCGGGGUCAACUCGGAGGAAGGUGGGGAUGACGUCAAGUCAUCAUGCCCCUUAUGUCCAGGGCUUCACACAUGCUACAAUGGCCGGUACAAAGGGCUGCGAUGCCGCGAGGUUAAGCGAAUCCUUAAAAGCCGGUCUCAGUUCGG
This 1076-nucleotide ribosomal RNA is filed under the name Mycobacterium tuberculosis. RNAcentral describes it as "bacterial SSU rRNA". It matches the Rfam family "Bacterial small subunit ribosomal RNA", at positions 219 to 1296 of the family's 1533-position model. The record is from RNAcentral. Lineage: Bacteria; Bacillati; Actinomycetota; Actinomycetes; Mycobacteriales; Mycobacteriaceae.